This 306-nucleotide long non-coding RNA is filed under the name Mus musculus (house mouse). RNAcentral's name for it is "predicted gene, 48223". The record is from RNAcentral. Lineage: Eukaryota; Metazoa; Chordata; Mammalia; Rodentia; Muridae.
UACAAUUGAAAUAAUAAUCCCCUUCCCUAUUUCCCCUCCAAACACUCACCAUCCCAUCCCCCUCUCCUCUUUGCCUCCACCCACUCCAGAUUCACACUGCUCUAGCAUCGCCCUACACUGGGGCAUCAAGCCUCCACAGGACCAAGGGCCUCCUCUCCCACUGGUGCCAGAUGAAGCCAUCCUCUGCUACAUAUAGAGCUGGAGCCAUGCAUCUCUCCAUUCAUACUCUUUGGUACCCACAAAGCAACUUCAUUGGAAACUUUUGCCCCAAGGAAUGGCUAAUAACUUUCCAUUAUGUAAAAAAUU